AUAACCAACUUUUGAGUGGCAAUUGUCCUCACUAUAAUAGUAAAAAUAACUGGGUGGCAAUUGUCCUAGGUGGCAAUUGUCCGGGUGGCAAUU
Long non-coding RNA from Haliotis rubra (blacklip abalone), 93 nucleotides. RefSeq lists it as uncharacterized. The record is from RefSeq and is a predicted model, not a curated record. The transcript is spliced from 3 exons. NCBI's taxonomy places the organism in Eukaryota, Metazoa, Mollusca, Gastropoda, Lepetellida, Haliotidae.